CCUCUGUCUCACAAUAUAUCCGUGCCCAACAUUUGACCGUCCGUCUUAUUAGAAAAUUUUGUGAAAAAUUUGAAAAUAUUUAGUUACACAUAAAGUACUAUUCAUAUUUUAUCAUCUAAUAGCAAUAAAAAUAAUAAUUAUUAAAAAAUUUUAAAUAAGAUGAACGAUCAAAUAUUGAACGUGAAUAGU
Molecule: microRNA precursor, 189 nt
Filed under: Oryza rufipogon (brownbeard rice)
Lineage: Eukaryota; Viridiplantae; Streptophyta; Magnoliopsida; Poales; Poaceae
Description: MIR812 microRNA precursor family
Rfam family: MIR812 microRNA precursor family
Source: Rfam by way of RNAcentral